UUAUUUUCAGUUCCCUAACUGACGAGAACACCAAAACUGAGGAGAAUGAAGCCAUUAGAGAGAUUAUCAUGCAGUUGUACUCAACGGAGGAAAUUCCAGUUCGGCACCUGUCGAGCAGGAUGCCCAUACCGACCAGCACAGAACCGAUUUUGCCCUCUGUUGUGAAGCCACCGAAGCUAGACUUGAAGGUACUGCCCCAGCA
This 202-nucleotide long non-coding RNA is filed under the name Salvia miltiorrhiza (redroot sage). RNAcentral's name for it is "long non-coding RNA (SMIL_LNC004030)". Lineage: Eukaryota; Viridiplantae; Streptophyta; Magnoliopsida; Lamiales; Lamiaceae. The record is from RNAcentral.